CAAGGUAAGUGUUUCUCACAUCUUUCAAGCGCAUUAAAUCAUCCAAAAAAACAAACUCCAUAUACUUCUUAUAGGCAAAUUAAUAGCUUUUGCCGGAAAAUUUUCCAGUCAACUUCUCUUUUAAUUUUUUAGAUUUGUUCACGGGAUUAUUACCAAAUUCUCCUUCAAAUCUGGACACCCCACCACCUUUAAAUCCGAUCACCACCAUAAACUUCUAAUUUUUCUUCUCGUUUUUAAGAUCCAAUUGACCACUGCAAUUCUGCCUAGAUAAGUAGCGUUCCAAUCUCAAAUGUUUUUCUUCUUCCUCGAAUUUUCAGCUUAGAAACUUUUAGAUCUUAAAGUUUUUGUCCUAGAUCAGUAUUUGGUUACUAAUUUAUAACUCUAAGAAGAAGAAAGUUCCGAACUUUUCCGGCGAGAGCCAAGAAUUUUCCUUAAAAAAUGUCGGUCCAAAAAGAGAAAUGAGGCUAACAUAGGGGAGGGAUUUUCUGUUAAGGGUGGUUGCCCCUCGAUCUGUUGUGCCAAUAAUUUUCUAUAGCUACUAAACCAACAAUCGUUGUUCAUUAAAUGCUGAGAAACAAAAUAUGUUUCUUUAGUCUACAACUUAAGUCAUGAACCUCUGUGUUUGUGUCCUUGCGUGUGUGUUACUUUUUCCUCCUUUGGAAUAAUUUUACAAAAGAGGCAGUGAUGAUAAUACGUCACUUCUUGGGCUAUCAACUAGUGAGAAUUUAUUAUGUCAUUUCGUCGAACAUCUGGUAUGCUCGGAACAACUGAAAUCUAUUUUUGUAUUAUUGUGGAAUUUGGUUGGAUGAAGUCAGCGGGAAAAUGUUUAAACACAUUCUCCAUAACAGCAGAAAGCUUUUUGUAUUGGUUCUGUUCGAUUUGGACCCCCGAAACUCCAUUUCCGACCAACUGAAGCUCGUUGGAGUUUUGCAAAUGUCAGGGCUGACGUUUCCGACGGUGGAAUAGUCUGAAAUUUUGUGAAAAGAUAGACCUGGAGGUGGAGAACAAUUUUCAUGGUUUGUAAUUUGCAAUUUGGCCCAGAAUUAAGUUAGAAAAGAAAUGGCCGGAAAUUGAUUUUUCCGGCGAGGAUGGUCGUUAGGGAAAAUGAAAACGGAUGAAUCCACGUGUGCUCCUCUUAUUCGUCACUCUAGAGUAUGAAUUACACGCACCUUUUGUGUUUGGUUACCUAUGAAUUUUGUGUCUAAAUGACACAGUAAAUGCUUGGUAAAAGUGUUCAAAUGAAACAGACUUAAAAUGGAGUAUCUAAGUGAAAUAUAUGGACAACUUUAAGGGGAUGUCAAUGUAUUUUACCUUCUAUUUAUAUGCUACUGAAGGUGAUAAGACCUACCUUUUCAGGUGUCACUGCUAAUUGGCAAGACUUGUAUGACAAUUUGAAGUCCCACAUACCUAGAUUGACAUAUACUGGGAUUUUGUGGCAACUACCUCCUACAGGUUGGAUAAAAUAUAACAUUGAUGGAGUAUGUAGAGGCAGUGAUGGAACAACUUCAUAUGCCUUUUUCAUUGAAGAUGGGGUUGGUGACCUACUAUAUGCACAGGCAGAUGAGAUUCAAGAUGCCACUAACAACAUUGCUGAAGCCACACCCAUCCUUGAAGAACUCGGGUACAGAUAUUGGGGCUGGGUUUAUGUGUUGGCCAACAUACAAGGGUGGUAUUAGCAUCUUUUAUGCUCAGUCCCUUUAGGUGUAAACAAUGCAUAGCCCUGCUCAAUUAUACUCUAAGAGGAAGGGUGCAGCAGGCUCACUUAUGCCAUUCAAGCUGCACAACAACUUGCAAGAGUUGUGAUUGCCAUUUUAACCUAAAGAGAGCUAUUGGAGACUUUUGGUUUGCAAUAUGUCACGUCCACUGCUCCUUCAACCUUCUUGAGCUUUGGGAAGCAAGUAACAACAAUGCUCACAGAUGCACAAGAAUCCACUUUACCCGUUUGAAGAAUGCACUGCCUAGAUUUGCUAAAUGUGGGCAAUGGUUUUGAAUUGUAAUUGCCGGCCAGUUGAGUACAAACUGGUGCAUGUGCCAAACAGAUAUGGCAUAUAUGAUGCAUCAAGAAGAUUCAUUUGCUUGGUUUUCAUACUCUCAUGUAGGGAUUAUUCACGAUUUUUUGAAGAAAAAUUACAAGGACAUCAAGGCUGCCUUGAACUGGAUAGUGAGGUUGGUCCUUAUUGGGUGUGGCUUAGCUGGCUUCUUGGCUUUGCCAUAUGCUUAUACCACUUCUAGGAAUCAAUUGGAGCUGAUUGAUCGAAUACAUUUGAGGUGCUCAUGCCCAAAAUCAAAAGUGCAGAAGAUUUGCACACAUUAGGAUAGCUUUGUACAUGUCUUUACUUGGCUUAUUUUCAUAGUUUUUUUAUCCUAAGUAUGCCAUUGUUCAUUGUGUACUAUCAAAGUUGAGUAGACUGCUCAACUUUGGUAAUAGGCGUGAUGUAUUUUCAAGUUCUACUUUCAUACAUUUUGUGAGA
Long non-coding RNA from Nicotiana tabacum (common tobacco), 2471 nucleotides. RefSeq lists it as uncharacterized. NCBI's taxonomy places the organism in Eukaryota, Viridiplantae, Streptophyta, Magnoliopsida, Solanales, Solanaceae. The record is from RefSeq and is a predicted model, not a curated record.